This 461-nucleotide ribosomal RNA is filed under the name uncultured bacterium. RNAcentral's name for it is "partial 16S ribosomal RNA". It matches the Rfam family "Bacterial small subunit ribosomal RNA", at positions 338 to 795 of the family's 1533-position model. The record is from RNAcentral.
CCUACGGGAGGCAGCAGUGAGGAAUAUUGGUCAAUGGACGCAAGUCUGAACCAGCCAAGUAGCGUGCAGGAUGACGGCCCUCCGGGUUGUAAACUGCUUUUAGUUGGGAAUAAAAGGGGGCUCGUGAGCCUCGUAUUAUAUGUACCAUCAGAAAAAGGACCGGCUAAUUCCGUGCCAGCAGCCGCGGUAAUACGGAAGGUCCGGGCGUUAUCCGGUUUUAUUGGGUUUAAAGGGUGCACAGGGGGUCUGUUAGGUCAGCGGUAAAAGCCCGGGGCUCAACCCCGGCCCGCCGUUGAAACUGGCAGUCUCGAGUUGGAGAGAAGGAUGCGGAAUGCGCGGUGUAGCGGUGAAAGGCAUAGAUAUCGCGAAGAACUCCGAUUGCGAAGGCAGCAUGCCGGCUCCACACUGACGCUGAGGCACGAAAGCGUGGGUAUCGAACAGGAUUAGAUACCCCAGUAGUC